RNAcentral lists this ribosomal RNA (292 nucleotides) under uncultured bacterium. RNAcentral describes it as "partial 16S ribosomal RNA". It matches the Rfam family "Bacterial small subunit ribosomal RNA", at positions 505 to 796 of the family's 1533-position model. The record is from RNAcentral.
GUGUCAGCAGCCGCGGUAAUACGUAGGGUGCAAGCGUUGUCCGGAAUUAUUGGGCGUAAAGAGUUCGUAGGCGGUUGCCUAAGUCUGAUGUUAAAUACUGGAGCUCAACUCCGGCAUGGCAUUGGAAACUGGGCAGCUAGAGUGCGGUAGAGGUCACGGGAAUUCCAGGUGUAGCGGUGAAAUGCGUAGAUAUCUGGAGGAACACCAGUGGCGAAAGCGUGUGACUGGGCCGCAACUGACGCUGAGGAACGAAAGCCAGGGGAGCGAAAGGGAUUAGAUACCCCGGUAGUCC